GCUGGGCAUGGUGGUGCACACCUGGAGUCCCAGUUACUUGGGAGGCUGAGGCAGGAGGAUUGCCUGAGCCCAGGAGUUUGAAGGUGCAGUGAGCUAUGAUCACACCACUGCACUCCAGCCUGGGCAACAGAGCAAGACCCUGUCUCUA
Unclassified non-coding RNA from Callithrix jacchus (white-tufted-ear marmoset), 148 nucleotides. It matches the Rfam family "Metazoan signal recognition particle RNA". From Rfam's summary of the family: The signal recognition particle (SRP) is a universally conserved ribonucleoprotein. It is involved in the co-translational targeting of proteins to membranes. The record is from Ensembl. NCBI's taxonomy places the organism in Eukaryota, Metazoa, Chordata, Mammalia, Primates, Cebidae.